AGAGUUUGAUCCUGGCUCAGAUUGAACGCUGGCGGCAUGCUUUACACAUGCAAGUCGAGCGGCAGCGCGGGGGCAACCCUGGCGGCGAGCGGCGAACGGGUGAGGAAUACAUCGGAACGUGCCCGAGAGUGGGGGAUAACGCCGCGAAAGCGGCGCUAAUACCGCAUAUUCUCUGAGGAGGAAAGUGGGGGACCGCAAGGCCUCACGCUCACGGAGCGGCCGAUGUCGGAUUAGCUAGUUGGUGGGGUAAAAGGCUUACCAAGGCGACGAUCCGUAGCUGGUCUGAGAGGAUGAUCAGCCACACUGGGACUGAGACACGGCCCAGACUCCUACGGGAGGCAGCAGUGGGGAAUUUUGGACAAUGGGGCAACCCUGAUCCAGCCAUGCCGCGUGCGGGAAGAAGGCCUUCGGGUUGUAAACCGCUUUAACCGGGAAGAAAAGGCAUCUCUUAAUACGGGGUGUUCUUGACGGUACCGGUGGAAUAAGCACCGGCUAACUACGUG
This 503-nucleotide ribosomal RNA is filed under the name uncultured bacterium. RNAcentral's name for it is "bacterial SSU rRNA". It matches the Rfam family "Bacterial small subunit ribosomal RNA", at positions 8 to 507 of the family's 1533-position model. The record is from RNAcentral.